This 31-nucleotide small RNA is filed under the name Arabidopsis thaliana (thale cress). RNAcentral describes it as "ATSL007990". The record is from RNAcentral. Lineage: Eukaryota; Viridiplantae; Streptophyta; Magnoliopsida; Brassicales; Brassicaceae.
AUCUUCAGGAAACAGAGAGCAAUAUAGGAAA